GAUGAAGAACGUAGUGAAAUGCGAUAAGUAAUGUGAAUUGCAGAAUUCAGUGAAUCAUCGAGUCUUUGAACGCACAUUGCGCCCCCUGGUAUUCCGGGGGGCAUGCCUGUUCGAGCGUCUCAGGGACGAACCCUCGCGCGGGUGUACGCGCGGUCGUGGCUGCGGUGGCGUGCCCGAGGCGGCGGCCACCGCGCUGGAAUCCAUGGGCGGACGCCUGCCGCGUGGCCGAGCGUGAUAUGACGCAUUGGCGCUCGCACGCGGCGAGGCUGCCAGCCCUGGCCCGUCUGUCGGGCGGGGGAGAGCAAGACACGUGAACUCCUCGAAUCAGGUAGGGAUACCCGCUGAACUUAAGCAUAUCAAUAAGCGGAGGA
RNAcentral lists this unclassified non-coding RNA (371 nucleotides) under soil metagenome. RNAcentral describes it as "partial contains 5.8S ribosomal RNA, internal transcribed spacer 2, and large subunit ribosomal RNA". The stretch from base 1 to 120 matches the Rfam family "5.8S ribosomal RNA", at positions 35 to 154 of the family's 154-position model. The record is from RNAcentral.